ACGGGUGAGUAACGCGUGGGAAUCUACCUUUUGCUACGGAAUAACGCAUGGAAACGUGUGCUAAUACCGUAUGUGCCCUUUGGGGGAAAGAUUUAUCGGCAAAGGAUGAGCCCGCGUUGGAUUAGCUAGUUGGUGGGGUAAAGGCCUACCAAGGCGACGAUCCAUAGCUGGUCUGAGAGGAUGAUCAGCCACAUUGGGACUGAGACACGGCCCAAACUCCUACGGGAGGCAGCAGUGGGGAAUAUUGGACAAUGGGCGCAAGCCUGAUCCAGCCAUGCCGCGUGAGUGAUGAAGGCCUUAGGGUUGUAAAGCUCUUUCACCGGUGAAGAUAAUGACGGUAACCGGAGAAGAAGCCCCGGCUAACUUCGUGCCAGCAGCCGCGGUAAUACGAAGGGGGCUAGCGUUGUUCGGAUUUACUGGGCGUAAAGCGCACGUAGGCGGAUCGAUCAGUCAGGGGUGAAAUCCCAGGGCUCAACCCUGGAACUGCCUUUGAUACUGUCGAUCUGGAGUAUGGAAGAGGUGAGUGGAAUUCCGAGUGUAGAGGUGAAAUUCGUAGA
Molecule: ribosomal RNA, 557 nt
Filed under: Rhizobiales bacterium StRD687
Lineage: Bacteria; Pseudomonadati; Pseudomonadota; Alphaproteobacteria; Hyphomicrobiales
Also listed under: 3 other names
Description: bacterial SSU rRNA
Rfam family: Bacterial small subunit ribosomal RNA
Source: RNAcentral